UGCGAGCGUGACGGCGCGAGCAGGUGCGAAAGCAGGUCAUAGUGAUCCGGUGGUUCUGAAUGGAAGGGCCAUCGCUCAACGGAUAAAAGGUACUCCGGGGAUAACAGGCUGAUACCGCCCAAGAGUUCAUAUCGACGGCGGUGUUUGGCACCUCGAUGUCGGCUCAUCACAUCCUGGGGCUGAAGUAGGUCCCAAGGGUAUGGCUGUUCGCCAUUUAAAGUGGUACGCGAGCUGGGUUUAGAACGUCGUGAGACAGUUCGGUCCCUAUCUGCCGUGGGCGCUGGAGAACUGAGGGGGGCUGCUCCUAGUACGAGAGGACCGGAGUGGACGCAUCACUGGUGUUCGGGUUGUCAUGCCAAU
This 360-nucleotide ribosomal RNA is filed under the name Escherichia coli. Its description in RNAcentral is "partial 23S ribosomal RNA". It matches the Rfam family "Bacterial large subunit ribosomal RNA", at positions 2374 to 2733 of the family's 2925-position model. The record is from RNAcentral. Lineage: Bacteria; Pseudomonadati; Pseudomonadota; Gammaproteobacteria; Enterobacterales; Enterobacteriaceae.